UACGGAGGGUGCGAGCGUUGUCCGGAUUUAUUGGGUUUAAAGGGUGCGUAGGUGGCUUUAUAAGUCAGUGGUGAAAUACAGCCGCUCAACGGUUGAGGUGCCAUUGAUACUGUAGAGCUUGAAACAAUUGGAGGCUGCCGGAAUGGAUGGUGUAGCGGUGAAAUGCAUAGAUAUCAUCCAGAACACCGAUUGCGAAGGCAGGUGGCUACGUUUGAUUUGACACUGAGGCACGAAAGCAUGGGGAGCAAACAGG
RNAcentral lists this ribosomal RNA (253 nucleotides) under uncultured Dyadobacter sp. RNAcentral describes it as "partial 16S ribosomal RNA". It matches the Rfam family "Bacterial small subunit ribosomal RNA", at positions 524 to 776 of the family's 1533-position model. The record is from RNAcentral. Lineage: Bacteria; Pseudomonadati; Bacteroidota; Cytophagia; Cytophagales; Spirosomataceae.